AACCAAGGUUGUUAGAUGAACUGCUUUCUGUUCUGGGGGCUCUAGGGAAGAUUGUUUUCCAUCUUCUGAAGGUGGAGUGCACACCUUGACUCCUGGCCACCAUCUUUGAAGCAACAGCAGACAGAAUCCUCAAGACUUUAACUACUCUUGCCUCUUCUUCGCCUGUCCCAUCAUUCUCAGACCACAGCCUGGAAGAGGUCUUUACUUUAAGGAACUCACAGGAUGACUUCGCGUCCACCUGGCUAAACAAGGCAACCUCCCCACCUCAAGGUCUAUAACCUAGAUCACAUCUGCCAAGUCCCAUUGGUCAUGGAAGGUAACUCAUUACCGGGCUCCAAGGAUUAGCACAUGAACAUCUUUGGGAGUGGGGGUAUUAUUCUGUCUACCACAGAAGGAGUUGAAAGGUAGGGUGGAGACUAGUAUAUUCUCUACAUGUAAAGCUUUAUAAUUAGAUUUGUGAUCAGAAUAACAUGUUCUGGAUAAAGUAUUUUAAAUCUUUAUAGGGACAGAGGCAACAAGCAACAGGAGAUGAACUCAUCUCAGUUCUUCAGGGUUGCACUAAAUAUUUACCUUUGAUAUAAGAACUAUACCCAUAAGCCUACCCAUACACCUAGCUUGGGUGUCCUUUAAUCUUUAAAUGUACCUUACAUACUGAAAGUGGAAAUCAACUCACCUUACCAACAAACACCAAGUUUAUGUAUUCCUCCACAUAUUUGGGGUUGAAGAGGAAAAGGAAAUCAAGUACUGUUAUCUUAAAGUUUAAGAAGGAAAGUAUAUAUCCACAAAUCAUUGAGUGUAGGAGCAAGAAGUAAUUGUUAUAAAGUACUUGUUUCUAUCAAUAGGAUGAAAGAUAUGGUCUCUGUAGAGGAGUAAAAUGACAUGAGAUUAAAUAGAAAAGAUAAAAGAAUAUUAUUCUAAGAGAAGUUCGUAUGUGUAUAUGUGUGUGAGAGAGAUCUAUUUUGUACAUUUCAUAUAACUAGCUAAUGGCAGAAAUGGGAAAAAGAAGAAAACAUAUACAUGGGCUGCAUGUACUACAAAUUUUCUACCUUAAAGAAUAUGAAUCUUUUAAGUUAUCGACCAUCCACCUAGCACAAUACCUGACUUAGCACAAGUAAAUGUCUCUUUAGUGAUUAAUUAAAAUAAUUAAAUGGUUAAUUACAGAGUAAGUGGGAAAUGAAACUUGUAUUAAAACUACAAGGCUAAACAGUAUAGUAAUUGCUGAAGUACUGAAGGCAUCAAGUUUAAUUACCCUUUUAUGUUGAGAAAUACUUAUUUUCCAAGUGAUGGGGUGAAUGAUCUUCAUUCCUACUCAAUUAUGUCUUUAAGUUGAUUCAGGGCAGGCUUUCACAUCUUCCAGGAAAGUAUCUUCAGAAAAGUCCUCAUCAAAGGGAAUCAUUACCCUGAGAGGAAGAGGUUCCUUUCAGAUGUAGCUGAAUAUGGAAAUUCUACUAAAUGCACAAGCUGGCAUGUGAAGAGCUUCUGGAAUCCCAUCUGGAGUAGGGGCAUAAAAGACUGUUCCUCCACUCCAUGGAGGGAAUUUUACUACAUAAAAGACCUCUGAGACGUUCCCUCAUUUGUAAUGGAAUCAGCAAUACUCUUGAUAACAAAAGGAUCAGAAGAUAGAAAACACAGUUGAGCCUUGUCUGGUUAGUAAUUUAAGAAUUCUCAAGAUUCACAGUGAAAUACUGAAAAGCAUGGGCAGAGUGACCUGAUCAGCGUUGUGCUUUAUUUACUACAGCUAAAUGUGGUCACGCCAGAUUUAGAAUGACUUGGGGGAAAAAAAAAAUGUAUGCUGGAUCAGAAAUAUCCUUUUGGAAGCUAAUUUACUGAUUUUAUUCAGAGGUAAUAGGAUUUGGACUGUGGUGUAGCCAUGGGGAAAAUCAGUCAGGUAUGAAGCAGAAUUUGGGAAGGAGGUGACCGGUAACUAGAUGGUGGGAAGAAAAUAGAAGCUGAGAACUCUAAGUCAGAAUGACUGUAAUAUUAUGAUGCCAUGAUUACAAUUAAGGAGGUUUGCAGAAGGAAAAACAGUUGAGCUUGUACUGAUAGGAAUUUUUGAGGAUAUAGUUCAGAGGUCAGAUUAGAGAGGACCCACCCCUGUGGGGUGACAUUACCCCUGUUUGAGGCAUAGUUAGUUCUCUAUGCUGCUCGUGAUGUCAUGACUUACAUUUCUUUUUUUUAUAUACAAUUCUAUUGUUAUUUACUAGUUGUUGCAUCUAAAACAAAAAUUUUUCCAUCUGUACUCAGUCCGCAACCCCUUGACAGUAUUAAGUAAUGUAGCCCAUGAGAAAUGGCAAUGGUAUAGGAUUUCAGGAGAUGCAAAUUCCCCCAGCUCCCACUGCAGUCAAAGGAUGUCUGUUUACAGGUCCUCUGCAUCCUAAGAUG
This is a non-coding RNA of Odocoileus virginianus texanus, 2382 nucleotides long. The record is from RefSeq and is a predicted model, not a curated record. Lineage: Eukaryota; Metazoa; Chordata; Mammalia; Artiodactyla; Cervidae.